GACUCUUAACCACUAAUUAACACCCUCUCUCAGCUAAUCACCUCCUUGAUCCUUCCCUUGGCCUCUCUGCAUGCAUGGCUCCCCCUCUCUCCUUCCUUUCCACACUUACUACUCCGUGGUAGUAGAUUCAGUAGUGGAUCGUACCAUACGAAUCGUGAAUUAUAAGUGAAUCGGUGAUCCGAAUUGGUGAAUCGCUGAAUCGAACGAUUUGCUGAGUUCAAUUUUUACUCAUUUUCGCUUUUUUUGUUGUUGGAAAAGGGUCGAAACAAUUUUUUUAAGGCCUUUAGCAUUGUUAUAUGCCAUCUUUUGUCUGUGUUUCUCUUUGUGUAUCAUAGGUAAUAAGAAAGGGAGAUUUAUCAAGAAAGUGAAUCGAAAAUGACAGAAAAAAUGGAAUACAAGUAUACAACCACCUAUAGACCUUUUAACGGUUCUUUUUUUUUUUUUUUUGUACUUUUAACUUGUCUUCACAAAAAAGACCAUAUGUAGAAUUCACGAAUCUUGAUCUCUUGGAAGUUGCAAUAGAAGCAGCGUACCGCUUAAUUCACAUUAUUAUCAAAUCAUCAUUUAGAAUAAGCUGUUUUAUGGAUUUAGGUCUAAAACUUUCAUUUGUAGUAUAUAUUUUUGUUAUUGUAGUUAAACAUAUGUUUCCAUGCAUUAUAGAAGUCCUGACCGAAUCAGAGCAAUUCCUGAUUCGAUUCGAUGCAUGAUUCGGAAAAGGACCAUUUCGAUUCUCGAUUUGAUUCACGAUUUGACCACCUUGCCACUGAGUAGUACACAGCAGCCCUCUUGCUCCCCUUCCCCUUAAACCCCCCAAAUAAUCCCAUGACCUGGUUGUUAUAUAUGUGUGUACUUACAAAUGUAUGUGAAUCAGAAAAAACCAGAAAGAAACUGAGAUCGGGCGUUGGCAUUCUGACUUGGGAACUGUAUUUUAAUGUUGAUGCCCCAAAUGGGUUAAUGCAGUAAUGGGUGGUCCAAGAUCAGUGUUUCAGAGAUGGUGAGGUGUAGGGUGGCAGUGGCGACCUGCUAGGGAGGGAGGUGAGAGAUACGAUCUGUGAGUGGCCAGAGUUAAAUUGCGUUAGGUCGAUAGAAGUGGUGGCAGUGGCGUCGGCACUGCUUUGGAUAGAAAUGAGAAGGGUGAAGAGAGAGGAAGGCAAAGUUUGGAGGGAGAAUGUCGGUAAGGAAAAAAGUUGAUGGGGUGUUAAAGUUUAGCUAUCAUAGCUGUUACUCAUUGUGCCUAUAAACCAUUUAGUCACAAAUCUCCUGUUAUUCAUUUAAUCUCAUUUAUUACAUGGACAAAGAAAAACUAACGUAAUUGUAAAAUAGACAUUUGAUAAUUCUGUAUUGUGGUGGUAAAAGAGUAAUCUUUUGGGACCCAACAGUUUAAAUGAAGAGUCGUUUUUUUUUGUUGUUGUUGUUGUGUGUGUUUUGUCUAUUUGGGUGUUCCGUUCCUUUAUAACACCCCAUGUAGUUAUCAAUAUAGGCAGACAGAUUGAAGCAAACAAAUUUUAUGUAGUAAUAUCAAGAAAGCAGUAACCUUUCCUUUGGUUGCUUGAGUAUUUUUGCUCUUAAUCAAUUCUCUUACUUGAGCAGAUGUAAAGGAGGAAAACAAUUAAUUAGAAGGUAAGAGCUCCGACCCAAGUUUCUCAAUGGGUUGGUUGGAUUGUGAUCAGUAAGCUUCUGCUUACAGGUGUAGGUAGGAAUAGGUACUUAGGAGUCCGAGAAAAUGUUUCCCAUGCUACAAACAAGUAUUUUUAAACUAAGUCUUGGAAAACAUUGAAGAAUGCCGUGAUAAAUGCUCAAGAGGAAGAUCGGAUGAAGUUCCACUGAAGAUUCUCUCUCUUUAUUUCACUUGUACGAUAUUUGAUUUGGGAAGUUGGCUACUAAAAUUUGUUAAUAUUGGAUAGUACCAAGUAGUAAAUGGCCACUGAUUAUCAUUCUUUCAUUUUGUGUUAUGAACUACUGUAGGGGGGGCUUACUGCUAUGAUUUGAUUCCCUUUACCAAUUCUUUCUGAACCGUGAUAAUCAGAAAUGAAGAACAUGCGCGGUUCAUUCUCAGAUGGUAUUUGUAAUCUUCCUGUUCCUGAUAUUGCAAUUGAAAAGAUCUUAGUACUUAUGCCCCUACGAGAUGCAGUGAGGACAAGUGUUUUGUCAAACAAAUGGAGGUAUAACUGGAUAACUAUUCCGGAACUUGUAUUUGAUGAUACUUCAAUAAUGGAUCCUUCCCUGAUUUUCUCUCACCAACAAUUGCCAUUAGACCAACUCUCAACUAGAAACAGAUUAUUUGCUACUAUAUAUCAUGUUCUAUUACUUCACCAUGGAGCAAAACUUGAGUUCAUUCUUUCUAUAUCUGAACUCAAAAGCUGUCCCGAAAUUGACGCCUUGAUGACUAUUUUGUCAAGCAAUGGUAUCCAUGAACUUGCCCUGAAAAUUUGGAAGAGUGACCCUCAUAAAUUGCCUCCAUCUCUAUUUUUCAACAACUGACACACUCGAAUCUCCAAUCUUGUGUAUUAAAACUACCAACAACCUUUAAGGGGAAUUGAUUUGCCUGGAGCUUCAUGAAGUGAUCAUCACUGCAGACAUGUUUCAAACUUUUAUUUCCGGUUGCUCAGUACUUGAACAACUAACGUUUGAAACUUCCACGUGUUUUGACUUUAUUGGAAUUGAUGCUCCUAUCUUAAGGUCCUAAGCUUCAUUGGGAUUUUCAAAUCUCUUAAGGUCAAGAAUGCACCUCAUCUUGCAAACUUCUCAAUAGAUUCAAAAGCUUCGGUAGGCAUAGUGGAAAGAGGAGGAGAUAAAUUUGGCUGGGCCGUUUUUUCCGAUAGUCUACCUGUUCUUAAGAAUCUACAUAUGGGUGGUCAAUAUCUGAUGGUGAGAUAAGUCUACAGUUUUUAAUUCGUUCAUUCUUGAGGAAAUAGUUUCUUUGAUCUCACUUCUUCCAUUUCAUGAAGUCAUUGGGUGAAGCAGGCUUAGGAAGGAAGCUUCUUACAUCAUGGGGCCUUAAUUUCCUAGUAUAUUAUCUGAUGUUCGCCUUGGGGUACGAGUUGUUUGCUGGACUGUUUUGUGGUUGAUUAAAAUCUCCCCAAAAUUCCAUAAAUUGAUAAUCAAGCCAAUUACAACAGGUAAUGAACAUGAAGCUGUUGUACUGAAUUAUUGUGUAGUGAAUAUGGACAAAGUUCUAUCUGAACCAUCUUCGAGAUGCAUCUUGUAUCUGGUACACCAAUUGAUUUACACUUCAUGAAGCUUCUAAAUCCAUGUAUUGGAGAGCAUGGCUGUCAAGCCAGAUCCGGCUAAGGUUUUUGAUGGAGGACUAAUGAUCUUGAUUUUAGUGCUUGUCCCCCAAGACGAAAAUUGCGUACAAAGAUCCAAAUAAAUGAAACCCAAGUUUAGCUCAUGGAUGAUGCACAUUUUGAAGCUAUGUCGUUGCAACGAGGAUACAUAGAGGUGGUGCAAAAUUUUGUUGGUUUUUGUAAGCCGACUCAUAUUAAAGCAACUAGCCAACUUCUAUGAAUGAUGCAAUUGGUUUU
Long non-coding RNA from Rhododendron vialii, 3524 nucleotides. RefSeq lists it as uncharacterized. The transcript has 2 exons. NCBI's taxonomy places the organism in Eukaryota, Viridiplantae, Streptophyta, Magnoliopsida, Ericales, Ericaceae. The record is from RefSeq and is a predicted model, not a curated record.